This 673-nucleotide ribosomal RNA is filed under the name bacterium HTCC8012. RNAcentral describes it as "bacterial SSU rRNA". It matches the Rfam family "Bacterial small subunit ribosomal RNA", at positions 224 to 888 of the family's 1533-position model. The record is from RNAcentral.
CUAGAGCCUGCGUAAGAUUAGCUUGUUGGUAGGGUAAAAGCCUACCAAGGCGACGAUCUUUAGCUGGUCUGAGAGGAUGAUCAGCCACAUCGGGACUGAGACACGGCCCGAACUCCUACGGGAGGCAGCAGUGGGGAAUAUUGGACAAUGGGGGCAACCCUGAUCCAGCAAUACCGCGUGUGUGAAGAAGGCCUGAGGGUUGUAAAGCACUUUCAAUUGUGAAGAAAAGUUAGCGGUUAAUAACCGUUAGCCUUGACGUUAACUUUAGAAGAAGCACCGGCUAACUCCGUGCCAGCAGCCGCGGUAAUACGGAGGGUGCAAGCGUUAAUCGGAAUUACUGGGCGUAAAGCGUGCGUAGGCGGUUUAUUAAGUCAGAUGUGAAAGCCCCGGGCUUAACCUGGGAACUGCAUUUGAAACUGGUCAACUAGAGUAUGGUAGAGGAAAGUGGAAUUUCUGGUGUAGCGGUGAAAUGCGUAGAUAUCAGAAGGAACAUCAAUGGCGAAGGCAGCUUUCUGGACCAAUACUGACGCUGAGGUACGAAAGCGUGGGUAGCAAACAGGAUUAGAUACCCUGGUAGUCCACGCCGUAAACGAUGAUAACUAGCCGUUGGGGGGAUUUACCCUUUAGUGGCGAAGCUAACGCGUUUAAGUUAUCCGCCUGGGGAGUACGGCCG